GUCACGCCCUAAACGAUGUCAACUGGUUGUUGGACGGCUUGCUGUUCAGUAACGAAGCUAACGCGUGAAGUUUACCGCCUGGGGAGUACGGCCGCAAGGUUGAAACUCAAAGGAAUUGACGGGACCCGCACAAGCGGUGGAUGAUGUGGUUUAAUUCGAUGCAACGCGAAAACCUUACCUACCCUUGACAUGUCAAGAAUCUUGCAGAGAUGUUAGAGUGCUCGAAAGAGAACUUGAACACAGGUGCUGCAUGGCCGUCGU
Molecule: ribosomal RNA, 261 nt
Filed under: uncultured bacterium
Lineage: Bacteria
Description: partial 16S ribosomal RNA
Rfam family: Bacterial small subunit ribosomal RNA
Source: RNAcentral